GACGAACGCUGGCGGCGUGCUUAACACAUGCAAGUCGAACGGUGAAGCGCCUUCCUUUUUGGUGGGUGUGGAUGAGUGGCGAACGGGUGAGUAACACGUGAGUAACCUGCCCCCUUCUUCUGGAUAACCGCAUGAAAGUGUGGCUAAUACGGGAUAUUCUGGGUCUGUCGCAUGAUGGGUCUGGGAAAGAUAUUGUUUCGGUGGGGGAUGGGCUCGCGGCCUAUCAGCUUGUUGGUGGGGUGAUGGCCUACCAAGGCGGUGACGGGUAGCCGGCCUGAGAGGGUGGACGGUCACACUGGGACUGCGACCCGGCCCAGACUCCUACGGGAGGCAGCAGUGGGGAAUAUUGCACAAUGGGCGCAAGCCUGAUGCAGCGACGCCGCGUGAGGGAUGGAGGCCUUCGGGUUGUGAACCUCUUUCGCCAGUGAAGCAGGCCUGCCUCGUUUGUGGGUGGGUUGACGGUAGCUGGAUAAGAAGCGCCGGCUAACUACGUG
Molecule: ribosomal RNA, 494 nt
Filed under: uncultured bacterium
Lineage: Bacteria
Description: partial 16S ribosomal RNA
Rfam family: Bacterial small subunit ribosomal RNA
Source: RNAcentral